RNAcentral lists this ribosomal RNA (253 nucleotides) under uncultured bacterium. RNAcentral describes it as "partial 16S ribosomal RNA". It matches the Rfam family "Bacterial small subunit ribosomal RNA", at positions 524 to 776 of the family's 1533-position model. The record is from RNAcentral.
UACAGAGGGUGCGAGCGUUAAUCGGAAUUACUGGGCGUAAAGCGCACGUAGGCGGCUUGGUAUGUCGGGUGUGAAAUCCCCGGGCUCAACCUGGGAACUGCAUCCGAAACUGCCUUGCUAGAGUAUGGGAGAGGGAAGUGGAAUUUCCGGUGUAGCGGUGAAAUGCGUAGAUAUCGGAAGGAACAUCAGUGGCGAAGGCGACUUCCUGGACCAAUACUGACGCUCAGGUGCGAAAGCCAGGGGAGCGAACGGG